Molecule: transfer RNA, 75 nt
Filed under: Ovis aries (sheep)
Lineage: Eukaryota; Metazoa; Chordata; Mammalia; Artiodactyla; Bovidae
Rfam family: tRNA
About the family: Transfer RNA (tRNA) molecules are approximately 80 nucleotides in length. Their secondary structure includes four short double-helical elements and three loops (D, anti-codon, and T loops).
Source: Rfam by way of RNAcentral
UCCCUGGUGGCUCAGAGAUUAAAGCAUCUGCCUGGAAUGCUGGAGGAGACCCGGGUUCAAUCCCUGGGUAGGGAA